CGGGCUGUGUAUCCCGUCAGCUAACGGCGAGUGAAGCGGCAAAAGCUCAAAUUUGAAAUCCUUCGGGAGUUGUAAUUUGUAGGUUGGGAGACCCCGCGGCUAGUGGCACCAAGUCCCUUGGAACAGGGCGCCUUAGAGGGUGAGAGCCCCGUAGGUACCACAACACCGUCUUGUGUCUCCUCUCCAAAGAGUCGAGUUGUUUGGGAAUGCAGCUCAAAGUGGGUGGUAAAUUCCAUCUAAAGCUAAAUACCGGCGAGAGACCGAUAGCGAACAAGUACAGUGAUGGAAAGAUGAAAAGCACUUUGAAAAGAGAGUGAAACAGUACGUGAAAUUGUUGAAAGGGAAGGGCUUGCAAGCAGACACGGCCUUCGUGCCGGGCCAGCAUCGGUUGCUAGGGGUGGAUAAGGAACAAGGAAUGUAGCUCCUCGGAGUAUUAUAGCCUUGCGCGAUACACCCACUGGCGACCGAGGCCUGCGGUAUUCUUUACCUAGGAUGCUGGCGUAAUGGUUGCAAGCCGCCCGUCUUGAAACACGGACCCAAUGCAA
RNAcentral lists this ribosomal RNA (545 nucleotides) under Sungouiella intermedia. RNAcentral's name for it is "[Candida] intermedia partial large subunit ribosomal RNA". It matches the Rfam family "Eukaryotic large subunit ribosomal RNA", at positions 66 to 664 of the family's 3401-position model. Lineage: Eukaryota; Fungi; Ascomycota; Pichiomycetes; Serinales; Metschnikowiaceae. The record is from RNAcentral.